Molecule: unclassified non-coding RNA, 1406 nt
Filed under: uncultured Neocallimastigales
Lineage: Eukaryota; Fungi; Neocallimastigomycota; Neocallimastigomycetes; Neocallimastigales
Description: partial contains small subunit ribosomal RNA, internal transcribed spacer 1, 5.8S ribosomal RNA, internal transcribed spacer 2, and large subunit ribosomal RNA
Rfam family: Eukaryotic large subunit ribosomal RNA (bases 630-1406)
Source: RNAcentral
UUUCCGUAGGUGAACCUGCGGAAGGAUCAUUAAAAAAUGAGACCUUUUUGAAGGUCUAUUAAUAAUCCUACUCUUUGUGAAUUUGUUGUUUGAAAUAAUUUUUUUAAAAAUUAUUGAAUGUCUUUCCCUGGUUUGUUGGCUUAUAGAAAGUGAACUCAGGGGAAUGGCAAACAAUAAUAUUUGAAAGACCUUUUUUUAAAAUAAACUUUUUGUAUUCAUUUGUCUAAAAUUAUUUUUAUAAUAUAAAAACAACUUUUGACAAUGGAUCUCUUGGUUCUCGCAACGAUGAAGAACGCAGCAAAAUGCGAUAAGUAGUGUGAAUUGCAGAAUACGUGAAUCAUCGAAUCUUCGAACGCAUAUUGCACUUUUUUAGUUUACUAAAAAAGUAUGUCUGUUUGAGUAUCAGUGAAAUAUUCUCAUAAAAACAUUGUUUUUUAUGGUUGUGAGUGUUUUACAACGAUACAAGUUGUUUCACUUUAAAUUCUUUGUCUUUUAAAAAAUCAUUAAAAACUGAUUUUUUUUUAAAAAUUGGAUAAAAUUUUCCCGUAAAAAGGAAUAACCUAAACAAUUUUAAAAUUAAAUUGGUUUGAUUUCUUUUAAGAAUUAAAGGAAAAAAGUAAAAAUUAACUUGAUCUCAAAUCAGAUAAGAGUACCCGCUGAACUUAAGCAUAUCAAUAAGCGGAGGAAAAGAAACUAACAAGGAUUCCCUUAGUAACGGCGAGUGAAGCGGGAAGAGCUCAAAUUUGAAAUCUUCAAGGUUUUACCUUGACGAAUUGUAGUUUGAAGAAGUGUUUUCUGUUGGAGUUUUGGUAAAAGUUCUUUGGAAUAGGACAUCAUAGAGGGUGAGAAUCCCGUAUUUGACCAUUAUUUCCAGCUGUGUGAUACACUUUCAAAGAGUCGGAUUGUUUGGGAAUGCAGUCCAAAAUGGGUGGUAAAUUUCAUCUAAAGCUAAAUACUGGCGAGAGACCGAUAGCGAACAAGUACCGUGAGGGAAAGAUGAAAAGAACUUUGAAAAGAGAGUUAAACAGUACGUGAAAUUGUCAAAAGGGAAGCGUUUGACACCAGUGUAGUUUUCUCGAAAAUCAAUUAAAAAUGAUGGAUUUUGUGUUGUAUUGACUUUAUCAGCUUUCUGCACUUUUUUCUAUCUUUUUUAAUGCACUUUUCGUUUAACAAGUCAACAUCAAUUUCUUUUGUUGUAAAAGAGUCAUUGGAAGGUGGCUUUCUUUUCGGAAAAAGUGUUUAUAGCCUUUGGCUUCUGCAAUCAGAGAGAUUGAGGUCUGCAGCGUAGAUCCUUCGGGUUAGAUACAUUUGUGCUAAGCUAUAGUCUUUCAUAGACAACUUGUUGACUAUGAUCAAUCCUGUAACUUACUCGCUUAUGCUAUUUUACCUACGCUUAGGAUGUUGAG